Molecule: ribosomal RNA, 253 nt
Filed under: uncultured bacterium
Lineage: Bacteria
Description: partial 16S ribosomal RNA
Rfam family: Bacterial small subunit ribosomal RNA
Source: RNAcentral
UACGAAGGGUGCGAGCGUUAUUCGGAAUUAUUGGGCGUAAAGGGUGCGUAGGCGGCGUGUUAAGUCAACUGUUAAAGACCUCAGCCUAACUGGGGAUCGGCGGUAGAUACUGGCAUGCUAGAGGGUGGAAGAGAGAAGUGGAAUUCUUGGAGUAGCGGUAAAAUGCGUAGAUCUCAAGAGGAACACCGAUGGCGAAGGCAGCUUCUUGGUCCACAUCUGACGCUGAUGCACGAAAGCAUGGGGAGCAAACAGG